ACUUUCAAAUAAGGUGAUCCCAGUUUGCCUGUUUGGGAAUAUGACAACUUCUUCGUCAUUCUAAUCAAACCAUGAUGAAUCGCGAUGUAAGAACAUUCAUUUGGAUACAUAAACCAGUGGAGAAUCACCAGGAAGUUGAAUAAAUCUCAUAAGAGUUAGGAUGAAGAAGUUAUCCCACUUUCAAAUAAGGUGAUCCCAGUUUGCCUGUUUGGGAAUAUGACAACUUCUUCGUCAUUCUAAUCAAACCAGGGUGAAUCGCUAUGUACAAAGC
This 271-nucleotide long non-coding RNA is filed under the name Brassica napus (rape). Its description in RNAcentral is "long non-coding RNA (BNAP_LNC023967)". The record is from RNAcentral. Lineage: Eukaryota; Viridiplantae; Streptophyta; Magnoliopsida; Brassicales; Brassicaceae.